This is a non-coding RNA of Homo sapiens (human), 117 nucleotides long. It matches the Rfam family "Metazoan signal recognition particle RNA". From Rfam's summary of the family: The signal recognition particle (SRP) is a universally conserved ribonucleoprotein. It is involved in the co-translational targeting of proteins to membranes. The eukaryotic SRP consists of a 300-nucleotide 7S RNA and six proteins: SRPs 72, 68, 54, 19, 14, and 9. NCBI's taxonomy places the organism in Eukaryota, Metazoa, Chordata, Mammalia, Primates, Hominidae. The record is from Rfam.
GCCAGGCAUAGUGGCUCAUGCCUGUAAUCCUAACAUUUUGGGAGGCUGAGGUGGGAGGAUUGCUUGAGACCAGGAGUUCAAGACCUGCCUGGACAACAUAGCAAGACCUCAUCUCUA